GCAGAUGGGGGAAGCCGAAAGGAUGUUUCCUAUUCCGAUCAGACUCAUCAGACUCAUCCUGGCUGCUGCUACAGCUUUUCCGGAGCUAAUCUCUCCAGCAAAGAGGGAAAAUUAGCCUCAUUUUGUACUAGGCUAUUUCCAUUUUAAAAGUUCCCCAAAGAUCUACAGGUUUCACAGUGAUGCACUCACUUAGCACUCGCUCUCCAAAAGGGAGGCAGUUAUGUAAAAGGAAUCGGAAUGCCAGGCUUUGUGUCAGAAAUCUCAAGUCUGUGCCUUUUUGUCCCAGCUCUCUGUUAAUGAGUCGUCUUGCUUUGUGCAAAUCACUUGACCUUUUUAAACUCAUUUUCCGUAUCUGUAGACUAGAGGCACCCAUGCUUGUUAUCACCAAGAUAAAAUCUCAAAGUGAAUGGGAAGCACUUUGUAGACUGCAGUAUGCUCUAUAUUAUCAUGUGUUUCUGUGAGUGUAUUAAAGAAAGAUAACCACUCUCUGACUACUCUUGCUGCCACUUCUUACGGCUAGUUAAGGGAAGGUACCAGAGACCAGGUGUCCUCGACAAGUGAUCCCCAACUCUUUGGCUGUAGAGAUCCGUUUCAUGGAAGACCAUUUUUUCCAUGGAUGGGGGAGGGUAGUUUGAGGAUGAUUCAAGCCCAUUACAUUUACUGUGCAUUUUAUCUCUAUUAUUACAUCAGCUACACCUCAGAUAAUCAGGCAUUAGAUUCUGCAGGUUGGGGUCCCCUGUCUUAAACUGCUAGUUCUGAGUAAUUACCCUGAAGCUUCAGUUGGUCUUUUUUAUGGCAAGAGAAAAAGAAUCAAAUCACACGAUUUAUGUAAGUUAUAAGCAGUGUGCUCCCUGUGGGCCAACUUCCUCUCCUCUCUUCCCCUAAGAGUGGAACAAGUCUUAAAGCACAGCUACUGCUCAGCAAUAUAGUCCCCGGAGCUCACCACUGCCUGAGGGGCCAUCAGGUAGGCACCGGUGUGUGAUGGCUCACCAGCCGCCCUUGUGAGGGUCCUCAAAAUGGCCUCUGCUCUCUGAGACAACAAAAGCUAGUCCGAGCACAAAUCCACCAAGGACUAAAGGCAACCAGGAAAGCUAUCUUCAACCUGGGGCUCAGUGGGCAAUGGUAAGCCAUUAUAAUAUCAUUCUCUGGUCUCCUGUCUGUCAGUUCUGUACCCACUGGGCCUUUGGGGAAAAUGGUCCCCCCCACCAUUGAUUUUCUUGCUCUGCCUAAGAGUUUUCAUACAAAAGCUUCAGUUUCCAGGCAAACAAAUAAAUAACAUCAAGACAGAAAACUUAGUGAGCUGGAAUUGGCAGUCUUGUUGACCUCUAAGAGCCCAGGUUCUGCUUGGUAGCUUGUAAUGUCCCAUGCUUUUUUCUGAGUUUAUUUGCAUUAUCAUAAUGGUUAUUUGGUGAGAGUAGGGGUGGGGCCAAAUCUGCUGGGCACACUCAGUCUCUGGACCCCGGCCAGCCUGUGCUCAGCCGGCAGCAUCCAGGUNNNNNNNNNNNNNNNNNNNNNNNNNNNNNNNNNNNNNNNNNNNNNNNNNNNNNNNNNNNNNNNNNNNNNNNNNNNNNNNNNNNAAAGCUUUCUACUUAAACACAUGCCUCUGACAACCUUCUUCCUACCAAUGGUUUGUGCAAGCAGAACGGCAAGCACCCCUCCCCUUCCUGCCCCAUGGUACAGGCAUACACAUUUUCCCAUCCUGUCCAAGCUCCUUGGCCCCUGGGUUCCCACCCCAGCAAAUCCUCCCAGCAGACUGUUUAAAUGAACUGUCAUCCUUGUCACAUUGCUCAGACAGGGAACCUCUACCCGCUGGACUGGAGACACACGGGUGUUCCAAAGUUUGGCACAAAACCUUGUAAAAUGAGGCCAAGUUUGCAUCUCCUUGACUUUAUAUAUUCUAUUUGGAUAUCUUCCUCUCUCCCCCACUGACCCCCCAAAUGGAAUACUGCUGAAGAGACCAUCUGCCACAAAGGCCCAUACCCAGUGAUCAAAAUAUUUUAGCUUCUUUCCCAGCUUGGUGUCAGUGACAAAAAUGUGUGAGGCUUGCAAACUGGCNNNNNNNNNNNGAAGCUUCUUUAAAAGCCAGGUGAUAUCCCCAUCCUAUUUGGCUCAGCCAGUCAUACCCAGAAGACAUUGUGCUUUAUGGUAAAUUUCUCUUCAUCGGACAAAACCCAAGUCUAAAUAGGAAAGGAUUUGAGGAAGGGCACAGCUGUGGUCUUAUGCAUUGCCAUAUUAUCUCAAACAGAUGUAGACUGAACAAAUGACAAAUAAUAGCUCUGGUAAGCCCAC
RNAcentral lists this long non-coding RNA (2289 nucleotides) under Capra hircus (goat). RNAcentral's name for it is "lncRNA (ENSCHIG00010015205.1)". Lineage: Eukaryota; Metazoa; Chordata; Mammalia; Artiodactyla; Bovidae. The record is from RNAcentral.